Erinaceus europaeus (western European hedgehog) is the source of this 104-nucleotide small nuclear RNA. Lineage: Eukaryota; Metazoa; Chordata; Mammalia; Eulipotyphla; Erinaceidae. The record is from Ensembl.
AUGUUCGCUUCAGCAGCACAUACACUAAAAUUGGAGUGAUACGGAGAUUAGCAUGACCCCUGCACAAGGAUGAUAUGCAAAUUCGUGAAGCGUUCCAUAUUUUU